GACGAACGCUGGCGGCGUGCCUAAUACAUGCAAGUCGAGCGAGCUGAACCAACAGAUUUACUUCGGUAAUGACGUUGGGAACGCGAGCGGCGGAUGGGUGAGUAACACGUGGGGAACCUGCCCCUCAGUCUGAGAUACCACUUGGAAACAGGUGCUAAUACCGGAUAAUAAAGCAGAUCGCAUGAUCAGCUUUUGAAAGGCGGCGUAAGCUGUCGCUAAGGGAUGGCCCCGCGGUGCAUUAGCUAGUUGGUAGGGUAACGGCCUACCAAGGCAAUGAUGCAUAGCCGAGUUGAGAGACUGAUCGGCCACAUUGGGACUGAGACACGGCCCAAACUCCUACGGGAGGCAGCAGUAGGGAAUCUUCCACAAUGGACGAAAGUCUGAUGGAGCAACGCCGCGUGAGUGAAGAAGGUUUUCGGAUCGUAAAGCUCUGUUGUUGGUGAAGAAGGAUAGAGGUAGUAACGGCCUUUAU
Molecule: ribosomal RNA, 472 nt
Filed under: Lactobacillus sp. oral taxon H25
Lineage: Bacteria; Bacillati; Bacillota; Bacilli; Lactobacillales; Lactobacillaceae
Description: bacterial SSU rRNA
Rfam family: Bacterial small subunit ribosomal RNA
Source: RNAcentral